Podarcis lilfordi (Lilford's wall lizard) is the source of this 3470-nucleotide non-coding RNA. Lineage: Eukaryota; Metazoa; Chordata; Lepidosauria; Squamata; Lacertidae. The record is from the annotation of a GenBank genome assembly.
UAGGGGGGGCUCAGCUUCAUCCGCACAUGCUUUGGAGGCACUGAGUUGUCGUCAGCCCCAUAGAGUUGGUGCCUAUGGGCAGGACAUGAUAUAAUAACCUUCCCCAUUGUUUGGUCAGCGCCUAGCAACUAAAGGUUCACUACUGUGAUUCAUUUGGAUGUGAGUCAGCUACCGGAAGUCAUUCAUAGCAUGACUUCCCUUUGCAGUACAAGUUGUGGGUGAUAAUGUGCAUUCUUAUCUGCGUUGCAGCAUGGGUGGGAAUGCCUUUCCCCUCCCUGUUGUCAUAACAGCUUUCGCAGAGUGGAGUCUGACUAUAUCUGUAUUGGUUUCUAUGUGUUCCGCAACACUUGCAAAACUGAGACAUUCAUGGGAGGCAGAAAAGUGAGAGGGGAGAAGGGAUGAGGGAUGAUGUGACACUAGGCCAUUGACAAAGGCUAAAUGCUGCGCUCAUUCUUUUUUGGGUAAAUGUAAAGCAGACUCCAUUCCUCAUUGUUCAACAUGUUUGAAAGCCUGCCUGCCUAUCUAGCAUCUCUUCCUUUGCCAGCAUAUGUGGGGAAAGUGGCAAUGCAAAGCUGAGGGGGGCAGUGAUAGCGCAUUUGGGGUCCUAGUGGGAAGUUAUCCACUGGGAGCAGUCAAAUACAACAUUCCUUGCUUUGCUAGAGUGGAUAUGCAAGGGAAAGUUUGGUCCAGCCAAAACUUCCUGUUCCUCCUGGCCUGGAGCAUCCUUCCUUGCAUGUGACUAGUGGGUGGGUGUGACCUUUCCAGACCUGGUAAAAGGACAAGGCAUGCAGCCAUUCUCUCUGUUUUCCAGCUUCCUUUCGUCCUGUGAACUGCUGGACUGCUAACUGCAGUCACUAGGUAAAUCUCCCUUAUGGGGUAAACCUGUUUGUAUAUGUUUGAAACUUGAAGCCUAAAGCCUGCCUUCAGGGUUCACACUGUGCUCUGCCUGAUUGUGAGUAAACUUUCUUUUUGUUACUUGUGAAUAAGACUGCCGUGUCUUUAUUCUUUUAGGAGGGAUUCAAGGGGUCUUACCAGGAAAAUAUUAGAAGACAUUUCAAUCUGGACAAGCCAGAUGGAAUUGCGUGUUGUCUUAAGAAACUCACACGAGUUUGCAACAAGUUUUCGGCUGGAAGAGGGAAUGCAAAUACUGCCAUGCUAAACUGCCUUGGAAGCAGCAGUUCCAGAACAAAUGUGGGCAGGUGCUGGUGAGCAGCGCACUUCUUUGGAACCCCAACCAAGUGGCAGUGCAAACUCCCAACAGCACUGCUGCUUAAAGAGCAAAUGCUUGGGUACAAAAAUAUGUUACGGCAGUGAACGAAAUUUAAAACCACCGUAAUUUACCACUUGUUAUCGUCUUUGUCACCUUACUCAUAGACUGCAGGGGGGAAUUUUGAUUGGGUGCGGUGCAAAAUGGGGCAAAGAAUGCUGACUAUUUCUGGUAGAUAUUUUGCUUUAGGUAUCUUUUUACCCAUGAGACCAGUUAACCCACAAGACUCCAGGGUGACUCCUUCCCUCAUGAUAUGUGAAGACAAGGGCAAUGCUCUUGCUCUGGGAUCUUGAGGGUUAAAAAAACUCCUAAGCAAACAAAAUUGGAAUCAGUUGGGAUCACGAUGGCUGUUGUGGACACAGCUAUCAAGCAGGUGGCUGUGAUGAAAAAGGUGAAUAGAAUGAGUGGUUUUGUGAAACCUUUUGUGACUGUACUCUGAAGGGCUCUUCCCAUAGCCAGUUUAGCAGGAUAGGCCUAAGCAAGAAGGCAGAGCUAGAAGCAGAGUGGAAGGGUAGCUAAAGCAGUGAAGUCCUGUUGUAUAUCGUUCUUUAAUGGAAAUAUUUAUUGUUCAUCUCUUCUGACCAGCUCAUCAUUAAACAGAUAACUUUACACCUUUAUCACACAAGCCCCAAACCUCAGCUACAAGUCAAAUAUGUUGUAAAAAUAACGUUCAUGGUGGCUUUUUUUUUUAAAGUAGAAUGAACAAAAAUGCAAAGGGUAUUACCUACAAUAGGUAUUCAGUAAUUUUUAAAUCCACAUAAAGUUAACAUUUUAGACAGUAUCACAUACUUUUAGACAGUAUCCCAUGGGACACCUGCAGUAUCCCGUUAUGCACACUGUAGUUUUCACUGGGUCUUUAAGGCGCUUAAUAGUGAUGUUGCUGGGGUUUUUUCCUUUUUAAAAACUUAUUUCUUAGUUCAGAAAUAUAAAGCUCAGGAGGCUGAAAUGCUUGCAAUACUGACCCCAAACAUUUUUCUCCGGCUUAGAAUACUAUUCUUCCCCCCCCAUAUCAUUUUUAUUAGUUUUACAAUAAUGCUUUCCAUUGCAAUAUCUCCUUUUAUACAUUUAGCUUUUUAGGGCCCUGACUUCCUUCAAACCUUCCUUAUGAUUUUCUGUCUUUCAUUUCAAAUUGCUUAAUUUUCACUAUUGAACCAUUGCUUUAAAAUCAAAAACAUUAAAACAUCAUACAUUCUUAUUCUUAUCUGCAGUGGUUUUUGUACCUUUCCUUACAAAGCUUCUUGCAAUCCUACCAACGUAUUUGAUUGAAUACAAUUGUCUUUCAAAUAAUUUACAAAUUUGUCCAGUCCUUGAUGAACUUUUGGUCCCGCUGUUCGCGGAUUCUUCCCAUCAUUUUGGCCAGUUCCACAUAUUCCAUUAGCUUCGAUUGCCAGUCUUCCUUUGUCGGUAAUUCCUCUUGUUUCCACUUCUGCGCUAAUAAAAUUCUUGCUGCCGUUGUUGCGUAUAGGAAAAGCUUAAUAUCUUGUCUGUUAAUUUCUGUACCUACAAUUCCCAGUAGGCAAUAGGGUAAUGGAUCUUAUUCACAGAUGACCUGGCAUUCAACAGGUCACCUUUUUAUUUAUUGCACUAACUCUCAUAAUACAAUAUAUUACACAAAGGAUCAUAAUACAGAAUUCACAUUGCCAUUUAUUUAUUUAUUUAAAAAACAGUAUUUGCGUUUUUUUGCAGAACAUCAUUUAACAUGAGAUUUACACCAUGGUGGACCAUUGUUAAAAAAAAAAAAAGCAAGGUAAACAGAAUAAUGUUAUUUGUUUUCAUGAAUUUUCAGGAGACUAUAUAACUCACUAUAAUCGCUGAAGUCUAUAGACUUCUGGGUUCAUAAUGGGCUGCUUCACUGAGAAUGUGUUUCAUAACUCAUUUAAAGCUCAGUUCAAUAUUGCUUGACUGGAGACACUUCAUUUACCUUGGAGUCCUUUUUAUUUGUUCUGUUUCAGAAAUGGGACUUGGUGAUGAAGAGCCCUUGGCAGAUAUAUUAGUCCAAGGAAAGUGUGCAUCACAUGAGUAGAGGUGAGGGAUGAGUUUUGCUCUAGGUAAAGUUCCCUUGGAACUUUAAAACGGAGCUCAUCAAAACAGAAUGGAGACCACAGUCUGAAGGAUCUAAGGAUCUGAACUCUGCAUUGCCAUGGCCAUGGGAACACAGAAGAGAAAGGUGAUGUCUCUCCAGAGACAGAACUUUGAACGGCAG